This is a non-coding RNA of Hemicordylus capensis (graceful crag lizard), 75 nucleotides long. The record is from the annotation of a RefSeq genome assembly. NCBI's taxonomy places the organism in Eukaryota, Metazoa, Chordata, Lepidosauria, Squamata, Cordylidae.
GGGGUUGUAGCUCAGUGGAAGAGCAUCUGCCUUGCAUGCAGGAGGUCCCAGGUUCAAUUCCUGGUAGCAUCUCCA